RNAcentral lists this long non-coding RNA (323 nucleotides) under Mytilus galloprovincialis (Mediterranean mussel). Lineage: Eukaryota; Metazoa; Mollusca; Bivalvia; Mytilida; Mytilidae. The record is from RNAcentral.
GUCCAUUCAGAUUGGACUAUUUAUUCCAAAUAGCCAUAUCCGUGAGAUUAUCGUACAUAUAAAAACCUUGUCAUAUUAAGGCUUCAAGGGUUCAAUAUGUUACCAACUUCAAGGGAAAAUGUCUGCCAUUACCCAUCAUAUACUCUUAUUCCUGUGGUGGUAUAGAUUUUCUGUCAUUCAUCCCAUUCCAUCCACCUUGCAGAAACUGCCAUGGUAUUAUAUUGUUUAAUUUGUUCUUGUACUACACAUGUGUAAAAUACUUUCCACUGGACAGUAAGAAAUCACCAAUAAAAUCGAUCAAUCAGUUUAAAAGGGCAUACAAU